UUAAAGCCUAUGACAAAGCAAAGUAGGUAGAGAUAAAUACAUUAAAGAGAAUACAAACCUUGGCUGUAAGUUUGUAUAUGUAGCUUUACUGAAAUUUCACUUUUGAGGUCUUUUUUUGAAAUAAUAGUAGGAAAAAGCAGGUAAGCCUGUUAUAGCUGUAUUAAGAGCAUUUAAUUUUAUUAAAUGAAUUUAGGUGGUAACGCGGAAUAACAAAGUCAUUUCGUCCUAUAU
Molecule: non-coding RNA, 231 nt
Filed under: Clostridium sp.
Lineage: Bacteria; Bacillati; Bacillota; Clostridia; Eubacteriales; Clostridiaceae
Description: T-box sequence
Rfam family: T-box leader
About the family: Uncharged tRNA acts as the effector for transcription antitermination of genes in the T-box leader family. T-boxes are found upstream of many aminoacyl-tRNA synthetase genes and some amino acid biosynthetic genes usually in Gram-positive bacteria. The anticodon of a specific tRNA base pairs to a specifier sequence within the T-box motif, and the NCCA acceptor tail of the tRNA base pairs to a conserved bulge in the T-box antiterminator hairpin.
Source: RNAcentral